RNAcentral lists this ribosomal RNA (253 nucleotides) under uncultured bacterium. RNAcentral's name for it is "partial 16S ribosomal RNA". It matches the Rfam family "Bacterial small subunit ribosomal RNA", at positions 524 to 776 of the family's 1533-position model. The record is from RNAcentral.
UACAGAGGGGGCUAGCGUUGCUCGGAAUCACUGGGCGUAAAGCGCACGUAGGCGGCUUGUUAAGUCAGGGGUGAAAUCCUGGAGCUCAACUCCAGAACUGCCUUUGAUACUGGCGAGCUUGAGUUCGGGAGAGGUGAGUGGAACUGCGAGUGUAGAGGUGAAAUUCGUAGAUAUUCGCAAGAACACCAGUGGCGAAGGCGGCUCACUGGCCCGAUACUGACGCUGAGGUGCGAAAGCGUGGGGAGCAAACAGG